Molecule: small RNA, 103 nt
Filed under: Sinorhizobium meliloti 2011
Lineage: Bacteria; Pseudomonadati; Pseudomonadota; Alphaproteobacteria; Hyphomicrobiales; Rhizobiaceae
Description: putative ncRNA
Source: RNAcentral
AGGACUUGACGUAGGAGCGGAAGAUGUCGGUGAUCAUCUCCUCGUUCGUCGGCCCGUAGAGCAUCGGCCGGUCCUGCCGGUCCUUGAUGCGCAGCAUCUCCUU